GACGAACGCUGGCGGCGUGCCUAAUACAUGCAAGUUGAGCGCUCAAGGUUGGUGCUUGUUCCUCCUGGAUUAGCAGCGAACGGGUGAGUAACGCGUGGAGAAUCUGCCUUUGAGCGUGGGACAACUUCUGGAAACGAAUGCUAAUACCGCAUAAAAACUUUAACCACAAGUUUUAAUUUUGAAAGAUGCAAUUGCAUCACUCAAUGAUUAUCCCCGGUUGUCUUAGCUAGUUGGGUAGGUAAAGGCUCACCAAGGCGAUGGUACAUAACCGAACUGAAGAGGGGGAUGGGCACAAUUGGACUGGAACAAGGGCCAAACUCCCACGGGAAGCAGCAAGAAGGAAACCUUGGGAAUGGAGGAAAGUCUGAACGAGCAACGCCGCCGGAGUGAAGAAGGGUCUCGGAUCGUAAAAAUCUGGUGGUAAGGAAGAAACUUGGGGGGAAGGGAAAACGCAUGAAGUGACGGUAACUACCCAGAAAGGCACGGCUAACUACGUG
RNAcentral lists this ribosomal RNA (497 nucleotides) under uncultured bacterium. Its description in RNAcentral is "partial 16S ribosomal RNA". It matches the Rfam family "Bacterial small subunit ribosomal RNA", at positions 28 to 507 of the family's 1533-position model. The record is from RNAcentral.